AGCUGUUGCCUUUCCCAGGGGCCUGAGGAGACUGGGCCUUGAAUGUGAAUCCUUCAAAGUAGCUCCAUGCUGUGUCCCUGGGUGGGGCCCGGUCUCAGCC
RNAcentral lists this microRNA precursor (100 nucleotides) under Mus pahari (shrew mouse). RNAcentral describes it as "microRNA 6394 (MGP_PahariEiJ_G0006571.1)". The record is from RNAcentral. Lineage: Eukaryota; Metazoa; Chordata; Mammalia; Rodentia; Muridae.